RNAcentral lists this long non-coding RNA (345 nucleotides) under Lotus japonicus. RNAcentral's name for it is "long non-coding RNA (LJAP_LNC000452)". The record is from RNAcentral. Lineage: Eukaryota; Viridiplantae; Streptophyta; Magnoliopsida; Fabales; Fabaceae.
ACAACCUGUAAAGCAGAUUAUGUAGGUUUCUUUAGGGUAUAGUUCCUAGAGAACCCAAACCAGAUUGAUGGUUAGGAUGUAGCUUUACCACAGAAAAUGGGGAAGAUAUGCGUACAUCUCACGCAAAAGGCUAGGUGAAGGACGAAUCGUAGAGCUAGAAGAGGGAUGUGCAUCGGUGGCUGAAGGAAAGGCAUGUGAGGAAGAUGCAGCGAAGUCAUAGAUGAUAGAUCAACGAUGGAGGCUUGAAUCGUGCAGGGAGAUAGGUGAACUUUCGAGGGGUAUAGCUUCCAGCUGCUAGCGAAAAUCCAGCCAUGAGAUAAGAGAAGGGCGAAGCAAAUCUGGCUC